Molecule: long non-coding RNA, 1027 nt
Filed under: Phasianus colchicus (ring-necked pheasant)
Lineage: Eukaryota; Metazoa; Chordata; Aves; Galliformes; Phasianidae
Description: lncRNA (ENSPCLG00000019107.1)
Source: RNAcentral
GCUGUCCCCUCCCCCAAAAUGGACCCCCCCUCCCCUCCCCUCCCCUCAAAUCCAGCACCUCUCCUGCUUCAGGGCGAACUCCAACAUCUUGAUGCGCCGCACCAAAUCCGUCUUCAGGUUCUCCUGGCCUUUCCGUUCGCCCUGCAGGAAGGCCAGCUGCGCCUGGGGGGGGACAAUUUGGGGACAAUUUGGGGACAACGUUGGGGACAACGCGACACCCGGGUGAGGACAGCAUGGGGAUAAAGGGGGGAGGGGGGUAAAGGGGACGGCGGUGUCCCCAGGGUUCGGUUAUGGUGCUUUGGUGACAGCGCUGCGCAGAUAUUGGGGACAGCAGUGUCCCCAAGUGUCACCUCCUGGUGACAGCAGUGUCCCCAGGGUGCCAUUGCUGUCCUGUGGGUGCCACAGGUGACAGCAGUGUCCCCAAGUGCCACCUCACAGGGGACAGCAGUGUCCCCAAGUGUCACCUCCAAGUGACAGCAGUGUCCCCAAGUGCCACCUCUAGGUGACAGCAGUGUCCCCAAGUGCCACCUCCAGGUGACAGCAGUGUCCCCAAGGCGCCAAUGCUGUCAUGUGGGAGCCAGAGGUGACAGCAGUGUCCCCAAGUGCCACCUCAUGGGUGACAGCAGUGUCCCCAAGGUGCCAUUGCUGUCCAUGGGUGCCAGAGGUGACAGCAGUGUCCCCAAGCACCACCUCAUGGGGGACAGCAGUGUCCCCAGGGUGCCAUAGCUGUCCUGUGGGUGCCAGAGGUGACAGCAGUGUCCCCAAGUGCCACCGCAUGGGGACAGCAGUGUCCCCAAGGCGCCAUUGCUGCCCCACAUCCCCACCAGUUCCCAAGACCCCACAUGUUUACCCACACCCCCAUAUCUCCAUAUCUGCCCCACAUCCCACAUCUGCCCCACAUCCCACAUCUGCCCCACAUCCCACAUCUGCCCCCACGCCCCCCAUCUGCCCCACAUCCCUUCUUCCCCCCAUCUGCCCCACAUCCCCACGUGUUCCCACAACCCCAAAUCUUUACCCACACCCACAU